AGAGUUUGAUCAUGGCUCAGGAUGAACGCUAGCGGGAGGCUUAACACAUGCAAGUCGAGGGGCAGCAUAGGGUAGCAAUACUCUGAUGGCGACCGGCAAACGGGUGAGUAACGCGUAUGUAACCUACCCUGUACAGGGGGAUAACCCGGAGAAAUUCGGACUAAUAUCCCAUAACAAUAUUCAGAGGCAUCUUUGGAUAUUUAAAGUUCCGGCGGUACGGGAUGGGCGUGCGUAACAUUAGCUAGUUGGUAAGGUAACGGCCUACCAAGGCUUUGAUGUUUAGGGGUCCUGAGAGGGUGGUCCCCCACACUGGUACUGAGACACGGGCCAGACUCCUACGGGAGGCAGCAGUGAGGAAUAUUGGUCAAUGGGCGCAAGCCUGAACCAGCCAUCCCGCGUGCAGGAAGACGGCCCUAUGGGUUGUAAACUGCUUUUCCAGGGAGAGAAACUUGCGCACGUGUUGCGCAAUUGACGGUACCCUGGGAAUAAGCAUCGGCUAACUCCGUGCCAGCAGCCGCGGUAAUACGGAGGAUGCGAGCGUUAUCCGGAUUCAUUGGGUCUAAAGGGUGCGUAGGCGGACUAUUAAGUCAGUGGUGAAAUCCUGCAGCUUAACUGCAGAACUGCCAUUGAUACUGAUAGCCUUGAGUUUGGUUAAGGUAGGCGGAAUGUGUAAUGUAGCGGUGAAAUGCUUAGAUAUUACACAGAACACCAAUUGCGUAGGCAGCUUACUGAGCCGACACUGACGCUGAGGCACGAAAGCGUGGGGAUCGAACAGGAUUAGAUACCCUGGUAGUCCACGCCGUAAACUAUGAUUACUCGCUGUUGGCGAUACACUGUCAGCGGCUAAGCAAAGGCAAUAAGUAAUCCACCUGGGGAGUACGGCCGCAAGGUUGAAACUCAAAGGAAUUGACGG
RNAcentral lists this ribosomal RNA (913 nucleotides) under uncultured bacterium. RNAcentral describes it as "bacterial SSU rRNA". It matches the Rfam family "Bacterial small subunit ribosomal RNA", at positions 8 to 916 of the family's 1533-position model. The record is from RNAcentral.